This 253-nucleotide ribosomal RNA is filed under the name uncultured bacterium. RNAcentral's name for it is "partial 16S ribosomal RNA". It matches the Rfam family "Bacterial small subunit ribosomal RNA", at positions 524 to 776 of the family's 1533-position model. The record is from RNAcentral.
UACAGAGGGGGCAAGCGUUGUUCGGAAUUACUGGGCGUAAAGGGCGCGUAGGCGGCCGACUAAGUCAGACGUGAAAUCCCCUGGCUCAACCAGGGAACUGCGUCUGAUACUGGAUGGCUUGAGUUCGGGAGAGGGAAGUGGAAUUCCAGGUGUAGCGGUGAAAUGCGUAGAUAUCUGGAGGAACACCGGUGGCGAAGGCGGCAUCCUGGACCGGCAUUGACGCUGAGGCGCGAAAGCCAGGGGAGCAAACGGG